Molecule: small nuclear RNA, 107 nt
Organism: Hyaena hyaena (striped hyena)
Lineage: Eukaryota; Metazoa; Chordata; Mammalia; Carnivora; Hyaenidae
Source: RefSeq, a predicted model, not a curated record
GUGCUCUCUUUGGCAGCACAUAUAAUAAUAUUGGAAUGAUACAGAGAAGAUUAGCACAGCCCCUGCACGAGAAUGACAUACAAAUUGCAAAUUGGUGAAACAUUCCA